Molecule: ribosomal RNA, 229 nt
Filed under: uncultured bacterium
Lineage: Bacteria
Description: partial 16S ribosomal RNA
Rfam family: Bacterial small subunit ribosomal RNA
Source: RNAcentral
UGCGUAGGCGGGCUAAUAAGUCAGUGGUGAAAUCUCUCGGCUCAACCGGGAAACUGCCAGUGAUACUGUUAGUCUUGAGUUCGGUUGAGGUAGGCGGAAUGUGUAAUGUAGCGGUGAAAUGCUUAGAUAUUACACAGAACACCAAUUGCGUAGGCAGCUUACUAGACCGACACUGACGCUGAGGCACGAAAGCGUGGGGAGCGAACAGGAUUAGAUACCCUGGUAGUCC